RNAcentral lists this ribosomal RNA (282 nucleotides) under Thalassionema frauenfeldii. RNAcentral describes it as "partial Bacterial large subunit ribosomal RNA". It matches the Rfam family "Bacterial large subunit ribosomal RNA", at positions 498 to 784 of the family's 2925-position model. The record is from RNAcentral. Lineage: Eukaryota; Bacillariophyta; Fragilariophyceae; Thalassionematales; Thalassionemataceae.
GUACCGUGAGGGAAAGGUGAAAAGCACCCCGACGAGGGGAGUGAAACAGACCCUGAAACUGGACGCCUACAAGCAGUCGGAGGGCGAAAGCCUGACGGCGUACCUUUUGUAUAAUGGGUCAUCGACUUAGUCUGACUAGCAAGCUUAAGCCGUUAGGUGUAGGCGCAGCGAAAGCGAGUCUUAAUAGGGCGACUGAGUUCGUGGGAUGAGACCCGAAGCCGAGUGAUCUAGCCAUGGGCAGGUUGAAGGUGCGGUAACACGCACUGGAGGACCGAACCCACG